RNAcentral lists this ribosomal RNA (232 nucleotides) under uncultured bacterium. RNAcentral describes it as "partial 16S ribosomal RNA". It matches the Rfam family "Bacterial small subunit ribosomal RNA", at positions 15 to 236 of the family's 1533-position model. The record is from RNAcentral.
GAUCAUGGCUCAGGAUGAACGCUGGCGGCGUGCUUAACACAUGCAAGUCGAGGGGAAACGACAUCGAAAGCUUGCUUUUGAUGGGCGUCGACCGGCGCACGGGUGAGUAACGCGUAUCCAACCUGCCCAUCACUUGGGAAUAACCUUGCGAAAGUAAGACUAAUACCCAAUGAUAUCCCACGAAGGCAUCCGAAUGGGAUUAAAGAUUUAUCGGUGAUGGAUGGGGAUGCGU